AAUGAAGUUGUGCUUCUCGAACGAGAACCAAGUGUUCCAGGUGCAAGCAAACUACCUCCACGAUCAUCUAUCAUUUGAACUUUGCGUUUAGGGGCACUAGCUGCCAAAGCACGUUUUUGCAUGACUCGGCGAUAGUCAUCAUUAAUAACAGGUGAGACAUUGCACUCAUGGGCAACGGUACCAACCAAAGCAGUACUUUUCAUGCUACUAGAUGUCUCUGAUUCUCGGAAAACAUAAGAAUUCCUAACAAACUUAUUCAUUACGCGUAAAUUAUAAAUUUUAGGGACGUCUGCAUUUUCAGGACUGUUUUGAAGAAGUAAUUGUAUUUCAUCAUUCUUGACCCGAACACACCCUAGAUUAGCGGCAUCGUCUUCUGGAAUUGAAUUCCAUUUGUCCAUCAAAAACUUGGGAAUUUUAACUAACCACACUCUUGAGCCAAUUUGACCCAAAUCUAAAUCACCAGCAUCGUCUUCAUAGCGGUCAUCCUCCUCAGUUCGAACCGUCGGUUUUUCUUCAGACAUUUUAAAUCCUUCAAAAUAGUGAAAAUUACUCAAGCAGUUUCCACUAUUCAAUGGUUCUUUCUUUAACAAGUUAAGAGAAAGAAGCAUUGAUGUCGCCUCCCUAAAGCAACUUUGAUUUACG
Non-coding RNA from Schizosaccharomyces pombe (fission yeast), 642 nucleotides. NCBI's taxonomy places the organism in Eukaryota, Fungi, Ascomycota, Schizosaccharomycetes, Schizosaccharomycetales, Schizosaccharomycetaceae. The record is from the annotation of a GenBank genome assembly.